This 460-nucleotide ribosomal RNA is filed under the name uncultured bacterium. RNAcentral's name for it is "partial 16S ribosomal RNA". It matches the Rfam family "Bacterial small subunit ribosomal RNA", at positions 338 to 795 of the family's 1533-position model. The record is from RNAcentral.
CCUACGGGUGGCAGCAGUGAGGAAUAUUGGUCAAUGGCCGCCACCCUGAACCAGCCAAGUAGCGUGAAGGAUGACUGCCCUACGGGUUGUAAACUGCUUUUAUGAAGGAAUAAAGUGAGUCACGUGUGCCUUAUUGCAUGUACUUUAUGACUAAGGACCGGCUAACUCCGUGCCAGCAGCCGCGGUAAUACGGAAGAUCCGAGCGUUAUCCGGAUUUAUUGGGUUUAAAGGGAGCGCAGACGGGUUGUUAAGACAGUUGUGAAAGUGUGCGGCUCAACCGUACAACUGCAAUUGAUACUGGGAGUCUUGAGUGCAGGUGAGGUAGGCGGAAUUCGUGGUGUAGCGGUGAAAUGCUUAGAUAUCACGAAGAACUCCGAUUGCGAAGGCAGCUUACCAAACUGUUACUGACAUUGAUGCUCGAAAGUGCGGGUAUCAAACAGGAUUAGAUACCCCUGUAGUC